This 117-nucleotide signal recognition particle RNA is filed under the name Macaca nemestrina (pig-tailed macaque). Its description in RNAcentral is "Metazoan signal recognition particle RNA". It matches the Rfam family "Metazoan signal recognition particle RNA". From Rfam's summary of the family: The signal recognition particle (SRP) is a universally conserved ribonucleoprotein. RNAcentral also lists the same sequence under 1 other name. The record is from Rfam by way of RNAcentral. Lineage: Eukaryota; Metazoa; Chordata; Mammalia; Primates; Cercopithecidae.
GCCGGGCGUGGUGGCUCACGCCUGUAAUUCCAGCACUUUAGGAGGCUGAGGCGGGUGGAUCACCUGAGGUCAGGAGUUCGAGACCAGCCUGGCCAACAUGGUGAAACCCCGUCUCUA